RNAcentral lists this ribosomal RNA (253 nucleotides) under uncultured bacterium. RNAcentral's name for it is "partial 16S ribosomal RNA". It matches the Rfam family "Bacterial small subunit ribosomal RNA", at positions 524 to 776 of the family's 1533-position model. The record is from RNAcentral.
UAUGUAGGGUGCGAGCGUUAAUCGGAAUUACUGGGCGUAAAGCGUGCGUAGGCGGUUGGCAAAGUCAGCUGUGAAAGCCCCGGGCUCAACCUGGGAAUGGCGGUUGAAACUAGUCGACUCGAAUCUGGCAGAGGGGGGUGGAAUUCCACGUGUAGCAGUGAAAUGCGUAGAGAUGUGGAGGAACACCGAUGGCGAAGGCAGCCCCCUGGGCUGAGAUUGACGCUCAGGCACGAAAGCGUGGGGAGCAAACAGG